GACGAACGCUGGCGGCGUGCCUAAUACAUGCAAGUCGAACGCUGAAGGAGGAGCUUGCUUCUCCGGAUGAGUUGCGAACGGGUGAGUAACGCGUAGGUAACCUGCCUGGUAGCGGGGGAUAACUAUUGGAAACGAUAGCUAAUACCGCAUAACAGUAGAUGUUGCAUGACAUUUGCUUAAAAGGUGCAAUUGCAUCACUACCAGAUGGACCUGCGUUGUAUUAGCUAGUUGGUGAGGUAACGGCUCACCAAGGCGACGAUACAUAGCCGACCUGAGAGGGUGAGCGGCCACACUGGGACUGAGACACGGCCCAGACUCCUACGGGAGGCAGCAGUAGGGAAUCUUCGGCAAUGGACGGAAGUCUGACCGAGCAACGCCGCGUGAGUGAAGAAGGUUUUCGGAUCGUAAAGCUCUGUUGUAAGAGAAGAACGAGUGUGAGAGUGGAAAGUUCACACUGUGACGGUAUCUUACCAGAAAGGGACGGCUAACUACGUG
This 495-nucleotide ribosomal RNA is filed under the name uncultured bacterium. Its description in RNAcentral is "partial 16S ribosomal RNA". It matches the Rfam family "Bacterial small subunit ribosomal RNA", at positions 28 to 507 of the family's 1533-position model. The record is from RNAcentral.